GCCUCCAUGGCACAAUGGUACUGCGCUGGUCUUGAGAACCAGGCCCUAUGGGCAUCCCGGUUCGAUUCCGGGUGGGGGCG
RNAcentral lists this transfer RNA (80 nucleotides) under Candidatus Pacearchaeota archaeon. RNAcentral's name for it is "tRNA-Ser". It matches the Rfam family "tRNA". Rfam says of the family: Transfer RNA (tRNA) molecules are approximately 80 nucleotides in length. Their secondary structure includes four short double-helical elements and three loops (D, anti-codon, and T loops). The record is from RNAcentral. Lineage: Archaea; Nanobdellati.